CUCCAAAGCAGCAAAGCUGCGUACAAACAAGAACAAAUUCUCAACCAGCCACAACAUCGGCACCAACCCAUACCCGACCCAAACUCCGCGAAUCCAUGAAACUUCAACCCGAUAAUAUUACAAAACCCACCUCCUUUCCCUUCCUCGCUUCGAUUGUACUCCUCACGUGAUUGGCAUGUGAUUUUCGUACCAUGGGAAGUCCAGGAUUCCUCUAGAAAAUAUGUAGGUGUCCGUUCCAACGGCUAGAUGUUGAGAAUUUCGGGUUGAAUGGUAAAAAAAAGUACACACUUUCCCAAUUCUCAUUGGUGGGUGAGAGAAAUUUCAUUCCUUAACCUCUAUUGGUUGGCCUAUUUUGGAUUUCAUGAAGAAAAUCCAAAAUCUGCACAUUGGUGGAUGAGGGAUCUAAGCUGUAGAAGAAAUUUGAAUUUCAAAUUCCAAAUUUUUCUUCCUAAAAUACCCCAAUACUAUCUUCUAUAUAAGAGGCGAUGGGUCACUGUUUAGAGGGGUUGAAGAUUCUAGAGUUGAAAAUUAGGGUUGGGAAAAUUUUUGGGAAAAAGGGGAAAAUUCGGGUAGCUAAGAGUACUUUCUCAUGGUAAAAAUUUACUUUCUCAUGGUAAAAAUUUCUCUUUUCUUUCUUCUUUUAAAAGCGAGUUUGAAAUUUUGGGUCUGAAAAGAGGGGAAAAAUUCUCAAAAAGGCAGAAACACAAGAAAGGAAAUUUUGGUUCAGAAAAACCGAGAGAGAAGGAAGAAAGGAAAAGAAAGAAAUUUUUGGAGAAAAAUUAAGUCUUUAGUAGAAAUCCUGUUCUUGUUUUGAAAGUUCGUCAGCUAAAUUAGAGUCUCGAGUUGACGGUAAAGAAGUUUCUUAGGGGUCGUGAUCUCCGUACCACAUCGUUGUCUCAUUUUGCUGCACUUAAAAAGGUAAAUACACUCUAUGUUCCCUUUAAUUUGACCACUGUUCUUCUUCAUCUCUUUUUCUUCGUAACUGAUGUAGUCGUAACUGUUCUUCUUCAUCUUUUUUUCUUCGUAGCUAAUGUAGUUGUAGUAGUAAUCUUGUUCUGCUAGGAGUAGCUGAUGUAGUCGUAUUCGUGAUUUUGUAUGCUAGCUUUGGCUGCUGAUGUAGGAAAUGUUUGUCAUGUGAUUACGUUUGAUGUUAAACUCCUAGUUUAGCCGCUAAAAUUUUUAGUUUUCAGUCUUAUUUGCACGUCUUAAUUUCAUAAUUUGUUAUCUGAUUUCGACAUUGCUAAUUAGCUUCCAAUUUGCUGCUUUGUAUUGUAUAUUGCUAAUGAGUUGACUUACUGAUUUCCAUCGAGGUUCCUAUUUCAAUUUCUCGCUUCACUAGCUUGCUAAAUGUUGUUUUGUUUGAAUUAUUGUCUUUCUAUUUAGUUAGUAAUAUCACUAGCAGGACUACUUUGCGAGUUCCUUUGGCUUCUCAAAUUCCAAAGAGAAUGACCAAAAUAUUUCCAAUAAUGAAAUGUACUACAAAAUUCUAGGAUCCUUCGACGGCCAUUUCGUUUGAAUGAGAAGGAGGACCAUACUGAUAUGUUGACUCGUUCAUUAUUACUGUUUGACAGUCUUAGAUCAUUAUUUUCUGUUUAAACUGGCAGCACCACCAGCUGGCCUGCCUUGAGAGUUCCUUUGGCUUUUUCAAUGCCAAAGGGAAUAAUGAGAUAUGUCCAAAAGCGCACCCAAAAUCUUAUAAUUCUCCGAUGACCAUUUUGACUGUUAAAAAACUCAUUUUUUGAGUUUGUCGGAAAGAGGAGAAGGAUAAAAUAAUACGCCCUGCCAGCUCCUUUCUUUAAAAAAGGAAAUAUCCUGGUCGGGUUCCCUCUGUUGUGGAAUUGCAAAGUUUGAGUCUUUCAUUUCCCUUUUGAUUUCGAUUUAAGACGGUAUUUUGUUUGAUUGAUCCCCGAGGAAAUGCAAUGGCUUUAUUGUAAAAGAGAAUGGAUGAGGUCUCUUUGAUGUUGAAAAUCAUUACAUGGUGUGCAUUCUCUUUGAGCUGGGUUUAUGGUUCUCUCUCUAGUUAUAAUUUUCAAGGCCUAAAACUCUUUAGAGUUUUGUAAGGCCGUUUCCAGGAAAUGCUCUUAGCAAUUAUGUAGAGACAAGGCUUUUGUGGGAGGAAAUUCUUUAGAUUUCUCUCGAAAAGAAAUUUGGAAGACGAAACGGGGUCUCAUCAUACCCGAGUUUCAUCUUCAUAGUUUCUCUGCUAAAACUCUAGGUAGGCAGGUUUUGCUUGAUUCAUUUCAAACGUUCUCUCCCUUUUUUGUUUUCGUUUCAUCAUGUCUAUCUACGCUUUAUGGUAUUAUAUUGGUUAUUUUGUUUUGUUCAUUGGAAGAAUGGUGGUGAAAUUAUUCUUGAAGCCAUAGUUACUAAGACUCUUUUGAUUAUUCAGAGAUCUGUUGCUUCUUCGCUCACUGUAGUAUAAAUAUACUAUUAACUUACAAACUUAUCUUCUUGAAAAAUUAUGAUUUUUUUUAGUUGUCUGAACAGUUCUUGGGUCAAGUUUCAUUAAUUCUUGCUUAAGUUGACGUUGUAUGUUAGUGUUUGUUUUUCCAAGCUGCUAAAUUUAGGUAAGAUAUGUUAAUAAGUUCUGUCCUUUUAAAGAAAUGGUACAGUGUGAAGCUCUUUUUUAUUUCCUCGAAAAAAGGGGUUCUUUUCUUACUCGAAGUUAUGCAUGAGUCGCUUAUGAGGUUUAUUUUAACUCCCAACUCUAGUGUACGUCUCAUUGUUUACUUGUUCUUGCUUACGGAAAUCCUCACCAAUUUAGUGUUAAAACUUUUUUUUAUUAGUUUAUAUGUUUAUUUAUGUACUGAUGACAACCAUAGUUGCAUGACUUUACCCUAUUGCGCAUGUCCUUUUUCCUUGACUUUUCUACAUCUUGACCUACUGUUUGGUAUGUUAUUUUGGAUUACAAUAGUUCUCUUUUUAUCUAUGAAUUUGUUAUGUUAUUUAUCUAUAUGGUGUUCUGCACUUUGGAUGCAUAUUAAUCUCCUUAUUUCGUUCCUUCCAUGUGAAUCCGUUUUUGAGUCCCACAUGGACUCUCUCCCUUUUCCAUAUUCAUCAUGGGUUAUUGAUGUCCACUAUCUCUAUUGAGUCAACUCCGAGAUCAAGUCCAAAAGCCGAUUAUGAGGCAUACGGAUGUAAGGAGACGAAAGGAGAAGAAUGAGUUGAAGUCCAUCUUUGAAGCGGCCAAGGGACUUGAAAGUUUUGUUUUUUCAUUUAUUUGCUCAUUUAUUUAUUUAUUUAUUUUUAUUGUUGUCUUUGUUCAUUUAUUCAUUUAUUUAUUUCACUUAUUCAUUCAUUUGGGUCUCGAAGCCAAAGUUGUAAAUUUAAUACAGGUGGAGCGGAUUUUAGGUCAAUGGGCCUGAAAGGAUAGUUUAGGACAGGUUAUGGGCCGAAAGCCUAAUUAGAUUGGGACAGGGUUUAUCGAUUUGGGCCCAAGGGUCUAAACUCUUUACUUUAUCAUCCCUUUCCCCUUUUAUAUGUUUAUUUGCUUAUUCAUUUUGUUUAGACUUAGUUAAAAUCCCUACUAAAUUGCCUAAAUUCAUUUUACACAAGUCAUUUUCCAAAAGCAACCACUUUUCAACAAAUUAAUGUUUUUACAAGUUAAUCUAAAGAUGUUUUCAAACAGUUCGGACAACCACAAGUCUCGGUCCAUAGUUUAAGACUCCGUUCCCUAUAGCCUAGUCUAUAUCCACAGCUGACGUGACUCCGUAUCGGCGCCUUUCCCUUUGUAUAGUAUACGGUUAAGUGACUUCCUAACCUCAACUUAUAACGGACGUUUUAGGUGUCUAACAUCUUCCUAAAAUAUUAAUAGGAACCGCUUAUUCAGAAUCUCUAACUUAAACGAUUUUCUUAGUUUGAAUUGUUUGAAGUAAUUCUCUAAAGGUUUCUUAAUUUCUUUUCAAAAUUAAGUGGCGACUCUUUUAAAAAUAGUCAAAAUUUCUCCGCAAAACAGAAAUGGCGACUCUGCUGGGGACUUUGAAAUUAGGUUCUAACCAAAUGUUUGAUUUUAUCUUUUGAUUAACUAUUUAUGUGUUUAUGUGUUUCAAUUCUGUAAAGUUUAAUUAUCGCAUCUCAUGGCACAUUCCUGUAUUAUUUAAACUAUUUUAGGGUUUCGUUGAUAUCCCGACCCCUGUUGUUCAAUUCCAAAAUAUGUUGGAAAUACGAACGGUUUAUUAGCACGUGAGUCGUCUGGUGGGUGUUCGUAUUUUCAAACACAAGUUGUCGGCUUGAGAACCAGUGUUCAAACACACUCUAGACCACCUAGGAUAGAAUGAAACCAAAACCCUAUUUUAGGAAUGAUCCUAGGACGACCCAAUACCCGAGCAGGGUAUUGGGUCCAUUAGAAAAGCUGCCCUCCAUCUAUUGACCCUGAGUCAAUUACAGACGAAUCAUAUUUAUGUGUUGAAAAAAAUAUAUGCUUGUCUAAUCAAUCCAUUACCCUCUGGGGAUUGGGGAAGGCUUAUCUUUGCCUGUUUUCGUGUAGGAUAUGACUCAACUGCAUUCCCUCAAAAAGUUCAAGAUAGUUAUUAAACCCAGCAAUUUUUUGAAACUAUGGUGGGAUCACAUGAGCGCAGAAGAGAGAAAGACUGUUAGAACACACAUCGGGUAUCUGCCUUCUUUGACCGAGAUGGACGCUUGGCCUAUAAUGAUCCAUGUACUAACAACUUUUUGGGAUAAUCAGAAUAUGAUAUUUCACUUCGGGGAUGUUGAAUUGACUCCAACCAUUGAAGAGGUAUUGAUUUGUUACGAGAGUACUGAAAUGUGUUUUAAGAGAAGGGAGAAACCUGAUAAGAAUAUUUUAUUCCUAGUUGUAUGGUAUUGUCAAAAGAUCAAGGAGGUAUUUUUAACUGAUGAAGACACCUGGAUAAGAGAAUGUGAUGGAGCAAAUAUCACUUUUCGUGAGUUGUAUCGUUGGUUCGGAAGAUUCAAUGCUUUUUACAAAUUUGGACAUAAAUUUGAGUCAAAAGCAAAAUGGAAGGAGACGAGAGCCUUUGCAUUCGCGGUAGGCCUACUUGGAACCAUGGUGUUCCUAUAAGGGGAAAAUGACACAAUUCAUCCAAGGGUUGUCUCAGUAACCCAUGCACUCUUCUUUGGAAUGAAGUACAAUUCUAAAAAGGUAUUCCACAACUUAGCUCCCAUGAUUAUUGCCUACAUAUAUCGAGCUUUGGGAAGAUGUCAAGUCAAGAACUAUUUCUUUCAAGGCUGCAACCUUAUAUUGCAAUGGUGGAUGAUGAUGCAUUUGGUGAAAAACCCUAGAACGGUACAACCUGAUAACAAAACAAGAUAGAAUUUGCUAGAAUCGCACGAUAUGUGGUUGUUUUUACACAAGUUCAAAAGGGAAGCAUCUCAUGAAUUUUGGUUUAAGACUCUUGGAGAAUUAAGAGGUGACGAUGUGCAAUGGUUCAUUAACUAUCUUUGUUUAAGGAAAUACACUAUUCGAGGGGGUGAGUGAUCUUUUCUAGUGAUUCCAGGUCUCAGGAGAACCCGUCCCUACAAUCCUGGUAGAGUUCUUAGGCAAUUCGAGAUCAAGAAGGAGACACCUUAAAUCGAUUCUAUGCUCAGAUUCUUCACCGAGUAUGAUGAAAGCGAGCCCCCACGCAAAGACUACAUGAUAAAUGGAUGGAGAAGAAGAAGGUGGACGGAAGUCUCUUUUCGUAUAGGGUAUGAACCUAAAGUCAGGGACACUUACAAGGAGUGGUUAAAAAAGAGCCUUGUCGGAGCGUUAAUUCCGAGGCCGAACGUUCCCACUCGGGUCGUGGAUAUAGAAUCCGAGCAUCAGAUCCGAAUCCAUAGGCUUCAAGAUGAGUUUUAGAAAAGUGAAAUCGCACACCAAAAGAUGCAUGUAGAAGAUACUUUAACAAUACGCAUGUUGAGGAAAGAGUUGAAAAGAUCUAGGCAAGAGGCUAAUGAUGCUAGGCAGUGUUUAAUCAAUUUGGAUGAUAGCAUGGUCUCCCAACUCGAUAGUAUAGAAAAAUGACUUAUGACAGCAAGGCACAGUUAUGCGAGAGUCAUCUGAUCAUCAAUAGGUAUCAAAUAGCACAAGAGGUGAACAAGGUAAAGAAGGCAAAGACAGACGAAGGAGCCUCCGGUAGCUAGUUUUUCUAUUUUCACUGCGUGGGAACUUAUCUUCUUUCAUGUUAUUUCCUUAUCUUCUUUCAUGUUAUUUCCCUUUUUCCCUAAAGAUUGUAUCCCUCUUUUGUUAUUUUUAGUAGGCAUUUAUGCCCUUUUCGUGUCUAUAUAAGUUGGGGGAUAAUGGAUUGACUUUAAGGAAGCAUAUAUUUUCUUCAAAAUCGUUAGGCUUGAACCCUUGGCUCAAAAAGGGUCACCCCGGUUAGGAUAUGCAUUAUUAUAAUGUUUUGUGUAAUAUAAUUAUCUUAUGUGCUUAUGUGUGUGUUUUUUGGAUCAAAGGCAAGUUUAUCCGCUAUGCUCCUAUGGAUGAAUUUGGCUAUGACUCAAACAACUCUACGUGGUUAUUUCUUAUCGAAUAUUUUGCAUUACUUAUCACAUACAGAAACUAACACAUCUGCCUUUGAGUUGUUUUACUUUACAGAUAAUAGAAAACUACUCCAUGUUCAAAUAAGCUGGCAGAACAUCCCUACUUCACCCAGUCAAAAGCGCAUAAAAUCCCAUCCUCUGAUCAUCAUUCAAUAGUGACUGGAAAUGACGAAGAAAACACAUUGACCAUCAGGGACAGUGUAAUAGCAGAACAUUGACCAUCAGGGACAGUGUAAUAGCAGAACAGAGUGAGAUAAUUACGGAGCUUGCAAGAAAGUUAGAAAUGCUUCAGGAGGAAAUAAAUCGUACUCGAGAUUUGGCUAACCUAGCCAUCACUGUCAAUGCUCUCACUCCAGGAGGACACGAUACUCCACUCCAAAUUCCUUCCCUCAGUACGCCUAUUCUUGGGAAUCAGCUAAAUAACGCAUCAUCCAUCUCUUCUCCUCAAAUUGUCCAAAACACCAAUCACGAAAAUAACUCAGAUGUCUACCAUCCACGAAAUCCAUCUCUAACCCCACAAAACCUAUCUCUGAAUCUAUUCCCAAAUCCCCAAAACCCAUUUGCAAAUCAAUAAAAUUUGUUCCCAAAUCCGCAAGAUUCACUCCUAAAUCCACAAAAUCCACCACUAAAUCUUCCAUCGAAUCUAUCCCCGAAUCCACCAAAUUCGUUUCCAAAUUCGCAAAAUCCUUCUCAGAUGCCACCAAACUACUCUCAAAUUCCACAAAACCUUUCUAAUUUUCAAAAUGUCAUCCCCACAUACCAACCAACUUCCUUUCAUCUGCAAAAUCAAGCCUCCCUUCUAAAUCCUCCUCAUGCCAUCAUAUCCUCUGACAUCUAUAAUCCCUUUACUAAUCCCGAGAUGGACCAUUACGAGAAGAAGGAGAAAGAGUGGAGGACCAAGCUUGAAAUGAAGUUGCUAGCUAUGAAUGAAGAGAUCACGAGGAUAAAAAAUCACAUGGAGCAAGGGACCACGACGGUUUAAGGUACGAUAGUUUAUGUGUUUACCCUGGAGUAGAUCUACCAGAAGGGUAUAACGACCCUAAAUUUGAAUGUUCAAUGGCACCGAAAAUCCAAUGACCCAUCUGAGAAGGUAUUGUCAUCAAAUAGUGGGGGUAGGGAAAAAUAAAGCAUUAUUGAUGCGUUUGUUCAGCUGGAGUUUAAGUGGCAAAGACUUGGAAUGGUUCAUGUCUCAGGAACUGAAAAAAUGGACUGGUUGGAGAGCAUUGGCCGAGGGUUUUCUUGACAGGUUCGUAUUUAACAUUGAGAUAGUCCCUGAUCGAUACUCACUAUAUCGGAUCAAACAGAAGAAUAAUAAGUGUUUUCAAGACUACGCCUUUCGUUGGAGAAAAGAAGUUGCUAAAGUACAACCUCCUAUGUUGAGGAAGAAAUGGUAUUGGUUUUCUCUCUCGCCCCGGAAGGAUAAUUUUAUACCAGGAUGGUAUCCGUGGUCCGAGAAACUUUCGCAGAUUUAGUAAAGAUUGGGGAAUCGUUAGAGGAAGGUAUCCAAACAGGAAAAAUUGCCAAAACCCCAACAUCAUCUGAAUCUUCUGUAUUCUCAAAGAAGAAAAGAGAGGAUGCGACUGCAGUCUCUACUAAUUCCAUUGAUAAGUUAAAGAGGAAAUUCAAACCUAAGAAUGUUUUUUUCUCAUCAUCGUCACUAAGUUUUCAGCCUGUAUUCUACACUCAACCCCAAUGUCAAGCUUUAAUUCCAAAUAUUUUACCCCAGUGCCAAGUUCCACAGCUAAAUUAUCAGCCUCAUACUCAAGCUACUCUUCCAAAUGACCAAAUAGAUGUCCAAAUGUCUCCAAACUAUCAUUAAGUACCUCCUUCUAAUAAUCGAAAUCAGUAUAACCACCCACGUGUAAACCUUGAAAAGAAGCCUCCUAGAAAAUUCACUCCAUUAGCUGAAAGUCGUACCCAGCUUUUCGAAAGAUUGAUGAAAGUUGGUUAUUUGCAACCGAUCCAGCCAAAGACUAUCAAUCUCAACUCCCAAUUUUAUCAAGCCGAUCAAAAUUAUGCCUAUCAUUCAGGAGUAGCGGGCCACAUUACCGAGGAUUGUAUUAACUUAAAACAUAAGAUCCAAGAUUUGAUCGAUCAGAAGGUCAUCACGCUUCAAUCGCCGACACCAAAUAUUAUUAACAGUAAUCCAUUACCUAACCAUGGGGGACCUAUGGUUAACAUGAUUGAAAUAAAGGGUGAAUGGGCAUCUAGCAAGACCAUUAUUAAGGUAAAUUCAGAAGGACUCAAAAGAACAGAAAAGGUGGAGAAGAUAGAGAAAGUUGUGGCCACCUUAAGUAAGGAUUUGGAAGGAAUUAUUAAGCCUGUUAUGGUCCCAGAAAAAGCAUUUAAUCCUACAAUAGAUUAUCAACCAAUAAAGGAAGAUGAGAUCGAAGAUAAUUCAAAGGAUAGUCUGUUUAUGCCCUUGCCGCUCUUGUACCAAUCAUUUCUCAUACAUGAGAUGUCAAAUGAUGAUGGUCUUAGGGAUGGGAUAGGAGAUCUGUUUGAAGGAUGCAAUCAUAUACCAGAUGAUUUCCCAAAGUCCGGUGGGGUGAAAAAGAUUGCACUAGGGGAGGCCUUGCAAAACUGGACCUCCACUCCACUUAUAACCCAUCACCCAUCGUGGUAGAUGAAAGGGCAAUUACUAAUAGUUUUUAAAAUUGGUGAUGAUCUAGAGGAGGCCCCGUGAUCCACCCUUUUAUGUCUCAAAUUUUUAUUUCAUGUUUUACAACUUUCAAAAAGGCAUGGGCCCACAUUUGUGUGGGUCAUGAGCUAUAGUUUUAUUUAUUUUCCAAAAGGCCUCCCUUUAUUUAAGAAGUUAUUUUUUAAAAAUAUGAUUAUCUAGCAUGGUUUAUUUUGCUAGCAAUAAGUUAAAAACCUGCCAAUGUCAUGUCAUGUCAAGGGUUAGACGAACAAAGCAAAGAAAAUAAUGAUGAACAGAAAAAGGUGAUGAGGAAUAAUUAGUUAAAGGUAUAGAAGAAUGUGAAAAUCAAAAGAAGCCCAACCUGGAGAAGCCCUAAUCCUACCGGAGAUGGAUGGUUAAGAGUGGACUAAACCAAUCAAUUCUGAUGCACUAAAGAGAAUUGUGCUUGAAAGAUGUUAUAAUUUUUGUGUUUCCUUAGUUUACUUGUAAUCGCCUUUGUAAUAAUGUUGUUUUCUAGUGUGUAAUUGCCUAGAACCCCUUUCAUUUUAUGUACGAACUACAUUUGACUGGAAUUCCCAACAAAGGGAUACGUAGGCGGCCUAUGUCGGCUUCGAUCAACCCCUUACAAGAAUUUAUCCUUUUUUUUAUGUAUGAACUACGUGAUGACCUGAAUUCCCAGCAAAAGGGGUACGUAGGCAGCCUAUGUCUUCUUCGGUCAACCCAUUAGAUUUUUCUAUAUAUCCUUAGCAUAGUCCUGAACUACGUUUGACCUGAUUCCUGCUUCAACGGAAUAUGUAGGCGCAACCCUAGGAAAUGGAAACUGGGGCAGAAUUUUUGAGAAGGAAUCUUAAAAAUUCACAAGAGAGGAUCAACGUCCAUCAAAGAGAAUGAAGAUCAACAAAGACUUCAGAUCCACUCGAGAUGAGAUCAUCUUAGACUACUUUAAACUGGGGCAGAAAUUUGGAGGGAGGCCUUAAAAUUUUCACGAAGUACUGGAAUAUAUUUCAAAUUCCCCGACACCAGAGGUUAAAGCCAAGAUUUUGAAGCCACCAACUGCGACAAAGUCUAGGUAGAAUCAAUUUCUGGCUAUGACAGAACUAUUUGAAGAACCCUCCGACAAUGAUCAUGAGUUCUGGAAGUCAUCUGUCGGAUAUAGUCAAAGCCACGAGGAAGACGUUCGUUUAGAGAGUACACGACAUGGCUGACAGAGAUUUUCUAAAGCUUUUACAGAUACUUUCAAAACUAUUUGCUAAAAAAUAAGACUACUUUUGAAAAACAAAUCCUUACAAAUCUUUUACUUAGUGAUUACCUAGGCGGCUAUAGGAGCAGGGACCCAAGGUGGAGGUACCAAUGUAACCGGGCACCUGAAAGAUGGCAAGGAGAAAAUCAAGGAUCGAAGAAGGUUGACACUGAGUAGUUUUAUUCAAACUAAUCAUUUCUCUGUGGAUGCAGGGAUCGAUACACAAAAAUGAGCAUUUCUUUCAAAAAAUCCCCAAGCAAGUCGGGAGCCAUACCAGAGCAUAUAGUGCUUAGGAACGGUACUUUUGGUAACCUAAAAGCGGGCUCAACACCCAUUUAUCGAUGACCUUUUGAAUUUUCCAUCUCAUUUCUUGAAAUCAUGGAAGACAAACAAAGACGUCUUCUUUUCUUUACAAACAUUGUAUUUAGAAUUUUUCUCAAAAAAUGGUCGCUAGCAAAAAUGACUUUGUUUAUACUAAUUGUCUAUCUUGAGUACAGGUACAUGUAGAAAGCAAGACGCAGACAAACGAAAUCAGAUAAAACUAUUUUCAAAUCUCCAAGAUGGCCAUUCAUAUCAUUGCCAAGAGGGUCAUUGCAUAUCAUUGCCAAGAGAGCCAUUGCAUAUAAUUGCUAAGAGGGCAAUUUCAUAUCAUUACUAAGAAUGCCAUUUCAUAUUAUUGUCAAGAGGGUCAUUUAUAUUAUUUUCAAGAGGGUCAUUUCAUAUCAUUUUCGAGAGGGUUAUUUUAUAUCAUUGCCAAGAAGGCCAUUUCAUAUCAUUGCCAAGAAGGCCAUUUCAUAUCAUUGCCAAGAGGGCCAUUACAUAUCAUUGCCAAGAGAGCCAUUUCAUAUUAUUUCCAAGAGGGUCAUUUCAUAUUAUUGCCAAGAGGGCCAUUCAUAUCAUUGCCAAGAGGGCGAUUGCAUAUCAUUGCCAAGAGGGUCAUUUCAUAUAAUUGCCAAGAGGGUCAUUUCAUAUCAUUGCCAAGAGAGCCAUUGCCAAGAGGGCUAUUCAUAUCAUUGCCAAGAGGGCCAUUCAUAUCAUUGCCGAGAGGGCCAUUCAUAUUAUUUCCAAGAGGGCCAUUCAAUAUCUGUUGACACGUAAGACAUAAAAUGCUAGCGUCGAGGAUAUCAUCAGUAUUUUAUAUCUGUUGACAUGCAAGACAUAAAUGCUGGCGUCGAGGAUAUCAUCAUUAUUUAAUAUCUGUAAACACGCUAGAAAUAAACACUGGAGUCAAGGAUAUCUCAUCUUUUAUGAAUCAGCAUCUGAAUGUAUUGAGAGAACAUGAUUUGAAAGGACACCUUUAAGUCGCUAUCUGAAGACGAGCGAUUUACAGGAUUUCCUAGAAAUUGAUAAUUUGAGGGUCAUUUAUAAGUCAUAUUAUUUGAAAUAGGAUAGUGUGUAAGAUCACCUAUGAAUUGAUAGCUUGUAGGUUAUCCGUAAGCCACAAUAACAUCCUAAUCGGAUAGUGUGCAAGGUCACCCAAAAAUCUAUAGUUCAAAGGUUAUCCGUAAGUCGCAACUAAAUCCUUACCGGAGAAUAUGCAAGAGUAUCAAAUUGAUAAUGUCCAAGGGUUAUCUAUAAGCUGUGUCAUAUCCAAGAUCGAUUAUGUGCAGGAUUACCCAAAGACUUGCAAUUUGAGACAUAUCUGUAAGUCAUAUUAUAUCCAAGGUCGGAUGAUGUGCAGGAAUACCAGAGAGCUAAUGAUUGGAGGGAUAUCUGUAAGUCAUCUCUUAUCCAAGGUCGGAUAAUAUGCAGGAUUACCUAAAGGCUAGCAAUUCAAAGGAUAUCUGUAAGUCACCUUGUAUCCAACAUCAAAUAAUAUGCAAGAUUAUCCAAAGAUGGUCAAUUCAAGGGAAAGCUAUAAGUCGUAUCGAUACAAAGAUGCGCAAGACUUACCCAAGAUCAUAGGAAAAGAAUUAUUGUCAAUGAUCGAAAAGGUUAUCAUUACACAUGUGACAAGCAUUACAGGUAACCAAAGGGGUUGGCGGAUCAGCAUAAGACUAAACGGUUGCAGGGACCGUUCUGCAUAAAGGGUCAUUGGUGUCCAAAAGGUCACUCCACUUUGAAGACAUAUUCAUUCGAACAAAUGAGUUAGUUAUGCAACAACCAAAAGGGUGUUACUACUGUUAUCAUAAGUUAUUUCAUUCCAAAUAGGUACAUGAAAAGAUGACUCCGCUUUUCAGGCAAUAACCUAUAUGAAAAUAUGGUAAAAUACUAUACACUUCUUUCGUGAAUUAUGCUUAUGACUAAGGAUUUUGUUUGAGAUAUUGUCGAGAGAAUCCAAGAGGAUAAAAAUCUCAAAUCAAAACCAUAGGUGCGAAUGACUUCAGAUAGAAUACAGCACAAUAUGAAACUCUUUCUCAGCAGCAAAAUGGGACAUAGUCUAGAGAGGGAUGUCAAACUCUUUACACGCGAGCUAAAGGAUGAUCACCACCACCAUAUAACCACACCCCUAUUAGAAGGCAUGUGGGUAUUCUGGGAUAUUCUUGUUUCAACUUCACCUUCAGGAUAUUUCUAAACUUACAUCGAGGGUAGUCUUCCCUUCCUUCAAAUCCGGGUGAUAACAUAUCUAGAGUUUUGGAAAUUAUGUCCAGGUAAGUUCUUUUCUAUGGAUGUGAAAGAUUCCACAUUCAUGGUUAAUAGGUUACAAUCCUCUUUUCCAUAACUUAAUCAUUAACUUGUCACUCAUCCCGAGCUGAAGAUCGUUUAAAAUAAAAGACUAUUUUUUCUACCUAUCGAGUCGAACUACAAACAAUCUGAUUCCCUAAAAUCUUGGGGAUAUGUAGGCCAAGAUCUAUGUAGAAAACUCGACUGCAUUCCAACCUCCUCCAAAUCCCUUUAUUCUCCAGCUUCUCGGUUUAACUAAAAACUCUAAAAUCGUGAUAGUUGGUGAAUUUUCUUGAAAAUCAUGCUUAAAAUCAAGCUUUAUGAACUACAAAUGGCCUGAAUUCUCAUGAAACUUGAGAUAUGUAGGAAACCUGAUAUCGAGGUUCGGCCAUAGCUCCAUGAAACUCGUGCGGAAAAUCAGCCUCUUUCAAAUUCGAAUUUGUGGUCGGACAAAAAUUAGGAAUGUCAACCUCCCUUUGCCCAGAGUUACUUGCAUCCACCCUAUCCAAAGGGAGGAGGCAGUUGUUGACACCUAUUUUUUUCCCUCCACGGCUAAAUUUGAUAUUGAGUUUCUUCGACUACAAAUAUAAUUACAAUAUUUAUUUUAUCCGAAUAAAGGAUUUUUAAAGUAUUUACUUGGAUAAAUUUUUCUCUCAAAAAUAAUUUAUUUGGAUAAAUGUUUGUUUAAUUUUACCAAAUCAAGAAGCUCAAGAUUAAAUAAGGCACUAAUUUGUAUUGAAUUUUGAUUUGAUUUAGUCAAUUUAUUAAAUUUGACUCUAAUUAAAAUCAAAUUAGCCCCAAUUGUGAUGCAAUUGACCAAUUGGUAUUCAAAUUGGCUAGAAUUUAAAGUUAAUUGCCUAAAUUGUAAUCCAAAAUCCUAACCCUAAUCCUCAAAACACUCCAUCCCAAUUUAAACCAAUAACUUGCCCAGGCCCAUCUAUUCACCAAUAAUUAACCCAUACAAUUUAAAAUACAACAGUCCUUUCCUUCUUUUUAAAAGAUUCGAUCCAGAAGCCCAAAAUUCCUUUAUCCGGCCCAAUCUCCCUUAUUUCUCCCCCCUUCUCCUCCAAAGCAGCAAAGCUGCGUAUAAAUAAGAAUAAAUUCUCAACCAGCCACAACAUCGGCAACAACCCAUACCCAAUCCGAACUUCACAAAUCCAUGAAACUUUAACUCGAUAAUCUUGCAAAACACACCUCAUUUCCCUUCCUCUCUUCGAUUGUACUCCUCACGUGAUUGGCAUACAGUUUUUGUACCAUGGGAAGUCCAGGAUUCCUUUAGAAAAUGUGUAGGUAUCCGUUCCAAUGGCUAGAUGCCGAGAAUUUUGGGUUGAAUGGUACAAAAUCAUACAUACUUGCCCGAUUCUCAUUGGUGGGUGAGAGAAAUUUCAUCCCUUAAUCUCUAUUGGUUGGCCUAUUUUGGAUUUCAUGAAGAAAAUCCAAAAUCUGCACAUUAGUGGAUGAGGGAUCUAAGUUGUAGAAGAAAUUCAAAUUCCAAAUUUUUUCUUCCUAAAAUACCCAAAUACUAUUUUCUAUAUAAGAGGCGAUGGGACACUGUUUAGGGGGAUUGUAGAUUCUAGAGUUGAAAAUUAGGGUUGGAAUAAUUUUCGGGAAAAAGGAGAAAAUCCGGGUAGCUAAGAGUUCUUUCUCAUGGUAAAAAUUUCUCUUUUCUUUCUUCUUUUGAAAGUGAGUUCAAAAUUUUGGGUCUGAAAAGAGGGAAAAAAUUCUCAAAAAGGCAGAAACACAAGGAAAUUUCGGUUUAGAAAAACUGAGAGAGAAGGAAGAAAGGAAAAAAAAGAAAUUUUUGGAGAAAAAUUAAGUCUUUAUUAGAAAUCCUGUUCUUGUUUUGAAAGUUCGUCAG
RNAcentral lists this long non-coding RNA (14841 nucleotides) under Capsicum annuum. Its description in RNAcentral is "long non-coding RNA (CANN_LNC005026)". The record is from RNAcentral. Lineage: Eukaryota; Viridiplantae; Streptophyta; Magnoliopsida; Solanales; Solanaceae.